Molecule: ribosomal RNA, 109 nt
Filed under: Propithecus coquereli (Coquerel's sifaka)
Lineage: Eukaryota; Metazoa; Chordata; Mammalia; Primates; Indriidae
Source: RNAcentral
GUCUACAGCCAUUCCAUCCUGAAUGUGCCCAACCUGUCUGAUCUCAGAAGCUAAGCAGGGUCAGGCCUGGUUAGUUCUUGGAUGGGAGAAAUACAGUUAGUUUUUGCAU